This 394-nucleotide ribosomal RNA is filed under the name uncultured bacterium. RNAcentral describes it as "bacterial SSU rRNA". It matches the Rfam family "Bacterial small subunit ribosomal RNA", at positions 29 to 417 of the family's 1533-position model. The record is from RNAcentral.
AUUGAACGCUGGCGGCAGGCCUAACACAUGCAAGUCGAACGGCAGCACAGAAGAGCUUGCUCUUUGGGUGGCGAGUGGCGGACGGGUGAGUAACACGUAGGAAUCUACCCAGUAGUGGGGGAUAACCUGGGGAAACCCAGGCUAAUACCGCAUACGCCCUGAGGGGGAAAGCGGGGGAUCUUCGGACCUCGCGCUAUUGGAUGAGCCUGCGUCGGAUUAGCUAGUUGGUGGGGUAAGGGCCCACCAAGGCGACGAUCCGUAGCUGGUCUGAGAGGAUGACCAGUCACACCGGAACUGAGACACGGUCCGGACUCCUACGGGAGGCAGCAGUGGGGAAUAUUGGACAAAUGGGCGCAAGCCUGAUCCAGCCAUGCCGCGUGGGUGAAGAAGGCCU